GGCUUUUCUCCACACCUCCCCUGCGGAUGGAACAAAGGGUAUCGAGAAGAACAGUUCCAGAUUUUCAAGGUCUCUGAGAGAAAGGAUGAAGACCUAAAGGGGGAGGGGAGGAAUGAGGAGAUGAAAACAGACAUGUUCUGAAAGGCUUAAAACUCAAUAUCUGUGGGGUAGGUGCAUCGGUCAGGCAGUCCAUGAUGGUGAUGAAAAUCAGUGGACUAAUCACUGAUCCUUGGUGGACACCGACCUUCACUUCAAAACUGUCACUCAAUCCACCUGCACAUUUAACUUGUGUCCGCCAGUCCUUGUACGUGUCUUGGGUGAUUCUGACUUAGUUUUCUGGUACUCCUUUCAGUCUGAGGCAAUUCCACAAUUCUUCUCUUGGUACACGGUCGAAUGCUUUUUCAAGGUCAAUAAACACAGUGCAAGCUUUGCUGUCCUUCACGAAACUUUUCAAUCAGCUGGCAGAGAGCAUAAAUGGCAUCGGUGGUGCUUCUUCCCGGCAUGAAUCCAAACUGGUGAUCGCUGAAUAAAACUAUUAAUUUCUUAAAACAAUUUUUACUGUCUCUAAACUUUUGAACAGUAGUGUAUUUCUCAGUUAAAAAAAAAGUUGUUGGCCCAUUUCAUAUAAAUAUACUGACUUUAUACCUAUCAGACUUUGAACAUAUUAUUCCUGACAAUGAAAAAAAAUAGUAGUGGUUUGAAAACUAUUCAGUGAUAUAAGUAUUAAACCCAUG
This is a long non-coding RNA of Cyprinus carpio carpio, 734 nucleotides long. NCBI's taxonomy places the organism in Eukaryota, Metazoa, Chordata, Actinopteri, Cypriniformes, Cyprinidae. The record is from Ensembl.